AGAGUUUGAUCCUGGCUCAGAACGAACGCUGGCGGCAUGCCUAACACAUGCAAGUCGAACGAGGGCUUCGGCCCUAGUGGCGCACGGGUGAGUAACGCGUGGGAACCUGCCCUGUGGUACGGAAUAACUCCGGGAAACUGGAGCUAAUACCGUAUGUGUCUUGAGGGACAAAGAUUUAUCGCCAUGGGAUGGGCCCGCGUAGGAUUAGCUUGUUGGUGGGGUAACGGCCUACCAAGGCAACGAUCCUUAGCUGGUCUGAGAGGAUGAUCAGCCACACUGGGACUGAGACACGGCCCAGACCCCUACGGGAGGCAGCAGUGGGGAAUAUUGGACAAUGGGCGCAAGCCUGAUCCAGCAAUGCCGCGUGAGUGAUGAAGGCCUUCGGGUUGUAAAGCUCUUUCGCACGCGACGAUGAUGACGGUAGCGUGAGAAGAAGCCCCGGCUAACUUCGUG
Molecule: ribosomal RNA, 453 nt
Filed under: uncultured Skermanella sp.
Lineage: Bacteria; Pseudomonadati; Pseudomonadota; Alphaproteobacteria; Rhodospirillales; Azospirillaceae
Description: bacterial SSU rRNA
Rfam family: Bacterial small subunit ribosomal RNA
Source: RNAcentral